Molecule: long non-coding RNA, 12479 nt
Filed under: Medicago truncatula (barrel medic)
Lineage: Eukaryota; Viridiplantae; Streptophyta; Magnoliopsida; Fabales; Fabaceae
Description: long non-coding RNA (MTRU_LNC004091)
Source: RNAcentral
UUCGCAGAUUUAUCCUUUUUAUUUUUAUCAACUUUAAAUAUAUAUUGUAUCGAUAUAUUUUAUCAAUUUGAUAAGGAAAAAAAAGACAGUGGUGAUAUAACCAAAGUUAAGAGAGAAGAAAUCAAUCUUAACUUGUAAUCCAAAAAAAAAAACAAUCUUAACUAUAAUAGUAUUAUUUAUUGCUAGAAAUCAAUCUAACUAUAAUAGUAUUAUUUAUUGCUCAUUUGAUUACAAACAUCUUAACUAAAUAAAUAAAAAAUACAUGCACUGGAGACCAACAUCUUAGUGAAAGAGUUCAUUCUUACAUGUAUGGCUUUUUGGGUAUCUCUCUUAGGAAAAUUUCACAUAGCUCGUUAACACACUUAUAAUAGCUAUAUGUAAAUACAUUUGGACAAUCUUCAUCGACUUUACAUUUAAUCCAUCCUGCAAAGGCACCAUCAACCUCUUUUGUAACAAGAAACAUGGAAAGAAAUGAAAUUAUAACGUAAAUAAACUUGAGAUCGUUAGCCAUAUUUGUUUUCUUUGUUUUUGUAACAAAUAGGAUAUGACUUGUUCAAUUUAUAGUGUAAAAGGAUAAUGCAAUGCUAAAAACUUUUAAAUAUAUUUAACAUUUAAGUAAAUUAAAGUGUUGUAUUUGCUCCUUUUGGAUGUUAAACAAUGUCUCUUCAAUAGAUCAAUGUGUUGUUUUGUCCCUUAAACACACUUAUGACGCGGUAAGCUGAAAAAAAAAUUAAUUAUUAGAAUUCAAUAUUUUCUUAAUUUACUUUUUUCAACUUUUCAUGGUAAAAAUUAGACAUUUUUUUUAAUUUUAAAGUAAUUGUAUGACCAUAAAAGAGUUACUCCAAUUUAAUUGUAAAACUGUUUCAAGCAUUGGACAUGCUCAGUGGGACGACAAAUUGAAAUUCUUGUUUCUCGCUCACUAAACUUCAACACAACUUUUUGUCUUAAGUACAAAUUGUUUAAAAUAUCAAAAUAGUCUUUUGUCCAUCAUACAUUGUAUGAGACAAAAAAUUCAAUACCAUAAAAGUUUGUCAUGUAUUGUUUUUUGACUUGUAUUGUGUUGUUAUGUCUUGUGUUUGAUCUGCAUGGUAUAGAACAUAACAAUGCAACACAAAACAUAACAACACACGAUAAAAUUUUAUGGUAUUGGACAAUUUUAUGCCAUAUACAAUAUUUGGCAAGCAAAAGAAUAUUUUAGGAUUUUAGACAACCACACGCUUCUCUCUCUUUUUUUUAAACAAAAAUUGGAAGUGGAAAAGAUCAAUGUGAUUAAUUAACAUCUAAUUGUGACCUAAUAGCCACAAUUAUGGGUUGCAAAACCUAAGUUUCUCCUAUCAAAAUAUUCAAGGCCCAAGCACUACCUGUAACCCAUCACUUAUUUUUAAGCUUGAGUAUGACAUUUUAAAUGUCUAAUAUAACAUGUUAGCUUAUUUAAAAUCAUAUUUGAUAUGGACAUGUUUAAAUAAGUGUUCACACAAAACAAAACAAAACAAAAAGUAGUUGAAUCAUAUAUUUUCCACUAGAUUAAAGUGGAAUAUUUGGCUAUCAUUUGCAUCUUAAUCAACGUUGGAAUCAACUGAUGCAAAAUCAGCUCACAUCUAAUGCUAAAUCGGCUAACAAUUGGAUCAGAUCACAAUUUAUGUUGAAUCGACUAACAACUGUGUUAUCGCGAUUUUCGGGUGUCAAGUCAUUAAUUAUGCUUGAACCUUUCAAUCUUUGAUAUUCUCUAUUUUUUCUUGGGAAGGGCGAAAUUGAGAAAAAACCCUUAGAUUCUAAGUUCGGGGGUCGCUUUCGCUACGGGAAGGUGUUAGGCACCCGGAACGAUUAUGGUAUUCCAUAAGAACCGUUCUCCUAAGUUUAUUUCUACGCUUUAUUUUUAUUGCCUACUUAUUAAAAAAGAAGUUUUAUUUGAGUGAAGAAUGGGGGGGAGAAAGUGUUUGAGGUUUUAUUUUAGUGGACUUGGAGAGGUUUUGACCUCAUGCCUACAUACCCAUUUAAGGGAUCAAACUCCAUGUAGUUCUCUCUCAAAAAAUGUUUUUUUUUUUGUGUGUUUGGUUGAUUUUAGUUUUUGUUGGAAAAUGGUUUUGAAGAAGAGGAAGAGGCCUUAAAGGCAUAAGAGAGAAAAAUGUUGAAUGGUUGGUUCAAUUGUUAUUAAAAAAGUCUAAGUAGGAAUUAGGAGUCAUUUGGAUUUGUUUAAGAAAAUAAAAGAAAAAAUUCAAUGGAGUUUUGACUCCAAGGUUUGUUUGGAAAAAUUUGAGUGAUGGAAUUGGUUUAUUAUUUUCUUGAAAAUUGGCAUUUGUCUAAAAAUCGCGUUUCCUAAGCAUACAUCUAAACGGUAAUCAUGCAACGUGUGUGCGUGUCGGUGCUUGUGUCGGUGUACAUCACUUAUAGUGUCCAUAGUCCUUUACAUUGAGUCCUAAAUACAUGCUAUGGUCUUGCAAGGAAUUUAAAAAAGAACUAAUCUAUCUAAAAUUAUUACAAACUCAAUUGAUAUAGAAAUGAAUAAAAAAAAUGAUGCUAGAACUAUGUGAUGAAUGAAAUGUGAGAUGAAAUGGUUAGUAUCAUAAGGCAUAAAAAUAGUAGAAAGGUAAACAAAAUUGAAUAGAAGAGCAAGAGAAAAAAAAAGGUAAUGAAAUGAAAUAAAGUGGCAAAAUAUACCUAGAAUUAGGUAUAACACUUAGACAUGCAUAUGGCUUAUAAUUCUCUCAUCAUAGCCAUUUUUAAAAGAGAUUUGAUUUUAAGCUACAAUGUGAGGAUCAUAAAAACACACAAACAAAGCAUCAUACCAUAUUCCUAGGGAUAUUUUCUACACAUUAUUUAACAUGCAAAAAAAAUAAAAAUAUCACAAAAUGUCAAAAAAUGCACCAAGAACAUAUAGGAAUUUAAUGAGCAAGAAUUAAAAAGAACAAAUGAAGAAAAUAAAAAAAAUAAGCAAGUAAAUUCUAACAUUUAGAGAAAAAAUUAAAAUGAUAGGGAAACAUUUUUAGAAAAUUUUUAGGAGCAUAAAAUGCCAAGAAAGUGUAAAAAAGUAUUUAAAAACACAACAAAAAAGCAAUUAAAAAGAGGCUCAGCAGGAUUUAAUCUGGUCCGCUGGAUGAAUCCAGAGGUCCAGAUCUAACUCCCAAGAUCACAUCACAGCCACUGUAUCAAAGAUCCAAGGGUCCAAAAAAAAGCACAAAAGAUAGUGUAAAAUGCAGGAAGCACAGUGACCGUUAGAUCAAAGAUCUAACGGUUCAAACAGAAGAUAUAACAUAUUCCACACAAAAAAUCACACACAGGAUUCAAAAUCAAACACACAGCAGCCAUCAGAUCUUGGAACAAUCCAGAUCUGAUGGUUCACAGAGCGAAGGAACACCACAGAAGCAUGCACGCGCGCGCGUGGGAACGGAGGGAGUAUAUAAAGGAAUUUUCACACAAAAAACACAUAAACCUCUUCUCCUUCUCUCUCUAAAACUCAAAAAUCACAAAAAUGCUCUCCCUUCUCUCUAGAAACUCGCCGCCGGCGAGCUAAGUGGUGGUGGUGGUGGCCGGAGUUGCUCCGGCGCGGUGGCCGGCCGUAGCGCCGCCGCGUCGGAGCGUUUUUCUUUUUUUUUUCGAAAUUUUUACAUCAAAAGUUUCGUCACCACCUCCUCUACACAAAUCCGGCGUUAGUUUUAGCGAGAACGGAGCGAUUCGGACUAGAUCUACGUUUUUACUUUGAAUUUUUUUUCACACUUUUCGCAAAAAAAACUACGGAUCUAGAUAUCCUUUUCUCUAUAGAGUCCGAAUCCGGUCUCGGAAUUUCUAAAAUCCGAACGUACAAGCCUAGAUCUACAAAUACAUAUCCGUAACAAACUUUUUCACACUUUUUCUACACUAUAUGCGCGCGCGAAAAUGAAGAAAAAGAGGAGAGAAAUGCGUUACCUCUGUCGUAGAACGGAGAAAAAUCUUCGGAAAACUUCGAAUCUCCCUUUUUCCCCCUCCGUGCGCGCGCGUUUCAACUCCGUUUGUGGUUGUUUUUGCUCAAAAAUCCGGUACGUUUUGGUGUUGAUGUGAUGAUUCGCGGUGGUUUUGAGUGAAUCCGGUUCGGAUUUGUUGAUUUUGUGGUGAUUGGAGUUGAUUCUGAGCAGAUCCGGUUUAGAUCUGUUGAUUUUGGUGAUGAUGUGUUCUUGGUGUUCUUCCUCUUUUUUUUCUGAGAUUUUUCUGUUUUGAUUCUGUUAUGGAUGAGAGAGAGAAAAAGAUUAUGUUUGAGACUGAUUGUGAUUGAUUCUGAUUUUUUUUCUGACUGAUUGUGAUGGAUCUGACACAUUUACUAUUUAUAGCCUGCCAUGUGUAUUGGAGACCCAAUGGAAAAUUGACACCUGGACUGUUUUGGACUUAAGGACUAAUCUACAAAAAGGUUAAUAUGAGGACUAAUCUGCAAUAAAAAAGACUAAAAAAAAUGCAAUUAAAAAAAAAGUAUUGGACAAAAAUGCAAUUUUGGGACCCUUUUGGGGGACCGAAAUGUAAAUAAAAAAUAAAAUGAAUUAAAAUCGGUAAUUGGUAAAAAGGUAAAGUGAAACGAAAAAUAAAAUCAACAAACGGACUAAAACGAACAAAUUACCGACAUGAGGUAUUUUAAAAUACCUCCCUGUCGAAAUUUUGACAGGAAAAGACCAAAAUGCCCCUAGGGACUAAACUGACCCAAACUGACUCAGAUGCAAUUUUUGAAAUAAUUUUUAAACAAAGACUCAACAAUGAUUUGUACAGACAGGUUGAAAAGACUCAGAGGCAAACACAGGGACUAAAAUGGGUUCCACUGCAGGAAAUGACCAAAAUACCCUUUUGUAUGGUUUUUUUGAAAUAAAAUGCAAGAAAAGUAAUGCGACGUUUCAGAGGGUUCUUAAAUGACUUGUAACGUCAGAAAAGACAGAGGCAGUAAAAUAUGUUUUAAGAAAGAGUAAAGAUUCAGAGUAAAAUAACAGAGAACUGACAAAUAUCAGCGUUAAAAAAGAAAUUUGAACGAGUAUUUUUAGGUCCAAAAUCAGGGUAUAACAGCUGCCCCUAUUUAAGUUUCUUUGUCUGGAGGGUCAAGAGACGGAGUCUUUGACUUGACGGGACGAAGAUACUUAAAUAUUAACAUUGCACUGUGUUUGGACGUAAAAAUACGCUUGUACAUUUUCAAAUAUCAUGAAUGCCAUGCAACAUUUGGAUUAUGAGUGCAAGACAAACGAAAACUGGAAUUAACAAAAGAUGCCGUAUCCAUUGCGGGAUUGGUAGACAUUGGUAAGAUAACAGAUAACAGGGUAGAUAGGAGGCUAGGAACAAAUUGACGGGUACAAGCUGCUCUUGGAUUGAGCUGGGCACUUGACCAGGAAUAAAAGCAGACAAACAGGUGCGAGUUGUUCUUGGAUUCGAACUAGUCACUCGACCGGGGACAUGGAGAAGACAGGUACGAGUUGUUCUUGAUUCGAACUGGUCACUCGACUGAAAGCAAGGCAAAUAGACAGGUGCGAGCUUGUUCUUGGAUGCGAACUGGUUACUCCACCGGAGUCAAAGACAAAUAGACAGGCGCAAGCUGCUCUUGGAUCGAGCUAGCCACUUGAGCGAACAGAAACAGAUAGACGGGUACAAGCUGUUCUUGGACUUGAACUAGCCACUUGACCAAAAUCAUAGACACAUAGACAGGUACGAGCCGUUCUUGGAUUCGAACUGGUAACUCGACCGAUAACAUUGAAAAGUAAACGGGUACAAGUCAUUCUUGGAUGCGAACUGGUAACUUGACCAAACAGAAACAUAUUGACAGGUACAAGCUGCUCUUGGAUUGAGCUGGGCACUCGACCGAUAACAUAAGCAAAUUGAUAGGUACAAGCUGUUCUUGGACUUGAACUAGCCACUUGACCGAACAGAAACAAAUUCACAGGGGAUUAGUUUUUUUGACAAAAUAUAGGUUGAAAUUGACUUGACGUCGAUUUGAUUUGAAAGGUAGAAAUUGACCAAUAUUAUUGGCUCACAAGGUUUUGACAGAGAACCCGACAUGAGUAUUGAGUUGAGACUGUUGUUGAUAUUGGAAAUGCAAUAUGCAUGAAUGAUAUAACAGUUUCAUUAAAUGCGUGGGCACGUAAUAUGCAUGAUUAUGCAUGUAUGAAUGCUUGUAAUGCAUGACUGUUGGCGAUUUGUAGACACAGUUUCGCAGAGACAGACAAGACAUUGGAGUAUUGGGCACGUAGUGGCUCGUGCUAUAUUACACAUUCCUGAAAAUCCUCUUUGGAGAUGACGUCGUUGGGAGACGUAUCGGGACCAUGGCUGAGGGCAGGUAGCUAUGCAACUUGCUGGGGAUAGAAUCUCGGGAAACUCUACUGGGAAUAAUGUCGGAUGUAUCGUGGAUGUCGCAUCUGUGGUCAAUGCUUUUUGCAUGUUAUUUUUUCAAUUUUCAUUCAUUCAUUUUUUUUGCAUCCCAUUUUUGCCUGGAUCGCCCUUUCGGGUUUUCGAUCCACCGGGGAAAUAAAUUCUUUUCAAUGCCCCAUUUUUGCCUGAACUGCCCUUUCGGGUUGUCAAUCCAGCGGGGUGCUCAUUUUUGCCUAAGCCACCCUUCCGGGUUUUCAACUUAGCGAGCCUAUUCAUUUUCAUGCAUUUUCAUUCUGUUUUUUCAUUCUUGCCAUUGACCACAGACUAUCCUGGAGGAGAACCUGCUUGUAACAUACGUUGAAAUAGACACCAACAUACACUCGCUCAUGCAUGUUCGUUUGAAUGUACCCUGUUGCUCAGGUUUGCUUUUCAAAAAACUUUUUCCAAUUUUCCAGAUGUUUGUUUCGAGCAUUUGUCAUUAUUAAAAAUAGAAGGAAAAUGUUUUUGUACAUAUCUUUGAAAGUAAAAAGAAAGCAGAGUUUCAAACAAAAGCACAGGCUCAAAUUGAUGUAUAAGAGUGGUGGUCAGCCGAAGGCGUGACUCCACGGAUUUACAAAGCUUGGAAAAUGGUAAUUUUUAUUGGUUGGUGAUACAUUGAACACAGCAAUCAUGACAUUUCCUAGGAACUUUGAAUUCGCAAGCGUAGGGGCUUUUGAUGAAGAUGGCCAUUAACAGCUGCAGAUGCCCCAAGGGAGACGGUGGUUGACCAGAUAUAGUUACUUGCCUUUUGUUUCAAUCUCAUUUUUGCAUGAACCGCCCUUCCGGGUUUUCGGCUCAUCGAGACGCUCAUUCUUGCCUGAGUUGCAUGCAAUCGCAGCGAGCUUUUUAUAUAAUUUUUUUUUGUGUCCCUUAUUUUUGCCUGGACCGCCCUUUCGGGUUUUCGAUCCACCGGGAAGCGCAUUUUUGCCUAGGCCGCCCUUUCGGGUUUUCGACCUACCACGCUGUUCUUUUCACAUUUCUAGGCAAAGUAUUUCUUGACUAUAUCGGCAUUCACUGGAUUUGGAAGUUCUACACCAUCCAUGUGUGUAAGGAUUAAAGCACCACCGGAGAAGGCCUUCUUGACAACAUAAGGACCUUCAUAGUUAGGUGUCCACUUGCCCCUUGGGUCGGGUUGCUGGCUUACCCUCCUUUUCAAUACAAGUUCUCCUACCUUGAAUUCUCGAGGAUGGACUUUCUUGUCAAAGGCAGUCUUCAUUCUUGCUUGAUAUGACUGUCCACGAGCCAUGGCAUCCAUACAUUUUUCCUCAAUCAAAUUCAACUGAUCAUACCGGCUCUGGCACCAUUCAGCCUCAGAUAACUUUGCUUCCAUGAUCACACGGAGAGAUGGGAUCUCCACUUCCAAAGGAAGAACUGCUUCCAUACCAUAUACAAGAGAGAAAGGGGUUGCCCCGGUUGAACUGCGCAUGGUAGUACGGUAGCCAUGCAGAGCAUAGGGUAGCAUCUCAUGCCAGUCCUUGUAAGUGGUUACCAUCUUUUGGACAAUUCUCUUGAUAUUCUUGUUGGCGGCCUCAACGGCACCAUUCAUCUGAGGUCUAUAAGGAGAAGAGUUAUGAUGCUCAAUUUUGAAUUCUUCACAAAGAGCUUGCACCACAUUGUUAUUCAGGUUGGUACCAUUGUCGGUAAUAAUCUUGCUGGGAACACCAUAUCGACAGAUGAUGCUGUUCUUGAUGAACUUAGCUACCACUUGCUUGGUCACAUUGGUAUAAGAUGAUGCUUCAACCCACUUGGUGAAGUAGUCAAUUGCCACUAAGAUGAAACGAUGACCAUUUGAAGCCUUCGGUUCAAUUCUUCCAAUCAUGUCGAUGCCCCACAUUGAAAACGGCCAUGGGGAUGAAAUAAUGUUGAGAGCGUGCGGAGGCACAUGAAUCUUAUCAGCAUAGAUUUGACAUUUGUGGCACUUUCUGGCGUGUUGAUAGCAAUCAUGCUCCAUGGCCAUCCAGUAGUAACCUGCCCGUAACAACUUCCUUGACAUAGUAUGCCCUGUAGCAUGGGUCCCGAAGGUACCAUCAUGUACAUCAUGCAUUAACUGCUCUGCUUCGUGUUCAUCAACACACCUUAAUAAUACCAUGUCAUAGUUUCUUUUGUACAGAAUAUCUCCAUCUAACAUGAAUCUACUGGCCAAUCUUCUCAGGGUCUUCUUGUCUUGAUUGGAAGCACCUGGCGGAUACUCACGGCUCAGCAAGAACUGUUUGAUGUCGUAGUACCAGGGUUUAUAGUCAACCAUAUUUUCACCAGCCUGAUCGAUCACAUCCCCAAUAGCAAACACAUGUGAAGGUCUUUCAAGGCGUUGCACUUUGAUUAUUGGCACAUCAUUCCAAUGGUUUACUUGAAACAUGGAGGAUAGAGUAGCAAGAGCAUCAGCCAUUUGGUUCUCAUCACGAGGAAUAUGGUGCAGCUCAACCUUUGUAAAAUAUGUCAGCAAACGUCUCGCAUAAUCACGAUAAGGAAUCAACUUGGCAUGGUGGGUCUCCCAUUCACCCUUUAUCUGAUUGAUGACGAGCGCAGAAUCUCCAUAGAUGUCGAGGUGUUUGAUUCUCAUGUCAAUUGCUUCCUCGAUCCCAAAGAUACAUGCUUCAUACUCAGCCAUAUUGUUUGUACAUUCGAACAGAAUUCUGGCGGUAAAAGGGAUGUGAUGCCCCUGUGGGGAUACAAUGACUGCCCCAAUUCCCUUACCAUAAGCAUUGACAGCACCAUCAAAGACUAAACCCCACUUGCUAUUGGGAUCUGGACCUUCAUCAAUCAACGGUUCUUCGCAGUCUUUUGAUUUUAAAUACAUGAUCUCUUCAUCGGGGAAAUCGAACUCAAUUGGUUGGUAAUCAUCAAGAGGUUGGUAAGCAAGAUGAUCGGCAAGAAUGCUACCUUUGAUUCCCUUUUGAGUUUUGAACACAACAUCGUAUUCAGACAAAAGCAUCUGCCAGCGUGCAAUCUUCCUAGUAACAGCAGCUUUCUCAAAGAUAUACUUUAUCNNNNNNNNNNNNNNNNNNNNNNNNNNNNNNNNNNNNNNNNNNNNNNNNNNNNNNNNNNNNNNNNNNNNNNNNNNNNNNNNNNNNNNNNNNNNNNNNNNNNGGAUCCUUCCGAUCCAACUUACCAAAUAUCAUUGGAACUGCCUGAUACUAAGGUAGUAUACGUUGGACAGUGCAUUCUUUCUUGCUUGCUACUAUAUGAUGUUGCUUUUUCAUUAAAAAAAUCACUAACUUAUUCUUAUACCUUUUUUAAGGAUCAUGAGCAACAUCCGAAAAUCGUUAAUCAUGGAUUAGGUCAGCAAUCAAAAGGAUCUUCAUCUGCAACAAAGGUAAUAAAACAUUAUAAGUUUCUCGUGUUUCUCUUUACUUUGCUUGUCAUAGGGUACCAAUUACCAAAUUCUCAAUUCUCAUGCAUUCUUUCUUGGUAGCUACUAGGUUUUGUAUUAAACAAAUCACUAACUAGUUACUCAACCAUUUAAUUACCCUUUUUAAGAGCAUGCAAAAAAAAUUCAUGAAAAACUAAAAAUUGUGUUUAUGAAAGUAUUGGUUUUUUGAUAAAUGUUUUAUUGGAAAGACUAAAUAUAUGAUGGCUACUAAGUAAUCACAUAUAUGGUUCGUGCUUGUUUCUUAUGUUUGAAAGUAAAAUUGUUUAUUAGGGUUUUCAAUAUGUUUGAUAAUUGAUUUGAUGAAUUGUUUCAUCUUUCUAGAUUCCAUUUGUGUUUCGCAUACCUGAUUUUUUUUAAGUAGCUGUAAUGUAAUAAUCAUAGUAAUUUUCUAUUAUUAUUAUUAUUACUGUUGUUGUAGUUGUUAUUUAUGAUGUUGUAAUGUACGUUCAUUAAUCGUUCACUUUGUUUGAUAUUAAUAGGUGCCGCGACGCUCUCCCGAACCAUUCCUUCCUUCUCAGGAAUCAAGAGCAGCUAUGGAUAGAAUCAGCGGAUUACCAGAUGAGUUAUUGUGUCACAUACUCUCUUUUCUCCCAACAAAAUUUGCUUUUACUACAACCCUUCUUUCUAAGCGGUGGACCCCACUCUUCUAUUCACUCCCCGUUCUCCGAUUCGACGAUAAUAAAUUCAAAGACUUUCAAACCUAUGAUCGCUUCUAUAGCUUUCUUAAUAACCUCAUGAUCCAUCCUCUUUCAAUCAACCAGGCUCAUCCCCUCAAAACGUUUCGCUUCAAACAAUGUUAUUACAGCCACCGCCUUAAUCUGUUUUCUCGCAGCAAAGAUAUCCACAACAUCAACACAUGGGUAGAAGUCACAAUACGAAUUCCCCGCGAGAAAGAUAUCCACAUUAUCAACACAUUGCUAGAAGUCGCAAUACAACGUCGUGUUGAGAAGUUUGAUCUCAAGCUGUGUUUCCACACCUUGAAGCCCAUCAUUUUCAUCUCCAAAACACUAACUAUUCUCAAACUUUUGAUGUUAAAAGUUGGAAAUGAUACUUCGUGCGUUAAUCUUCCAUCUCUGAAAUCCCUGAAGUUGAAUCGCGUUAGAUUUGAAAAUUGGAACGAUUACAUAAACUUUCUUUCAUCUUGUCCUAACCUAGAAGAUUUGCGUCUUAAGAGUAUCCAUUGUAGGAAACUUGACAAAAACAAUGCAUCAAAAACAGUAUUUCAAAAAUCCUUGGCCCUUUCUAAGUUGGUUAGAUUGUGUAUCGGGUCUACAGAUGAUUUUUUCAAAGUCAUUUCAAAUUUUUCAAACUUAAUUCAUAUUAAACUAUGGUUAAGCCCUCUUCAUUGUUGGGAUGAUGUGGUAAAACUACUCCGACUUUGCCCCAAGCUUCAAAUUCUUUAUAUUAAAACGGUAUGUUUAGUUUUUUUUUUUUUUUUUUGUUGAAGAAGCCAAUAGUUGAGUAGUAUAUUUGUUCGUUUUUUUUUCGAAUAUUUUUUAAAUGUUAUUUUCAUCCCUUUAACAGUUUUCGAGGACCACAUCGACCAAGGAAUGGACAUGCCCAUUAUCGGUUCUUGAAUGUGUUUCGUAUCAUCUCAAAUCAUGUACUAUUUCAACUUCAAGCUUAACAGAUUGGGCAAAUGAUAUUCGUUAUGUGCAAUAUAUUUUGCGGAAUGCAAGACUUUUACAAGAUAUGACUAUCAACUUUAAUGGGGUCUCUUAUGAAGGAAUGGUUUUGGAAAAAUGUCAGAUUAUAGAAGAAUUAUCUUCUUGUCCAAUGAUAUCACCAGGAUGUAAACUUUCAUUUGAUUUUUUCCGUCGUUCUUUGUAUCGGUAGCGUUUCUCAUUAGUUUCUAUUUAUAAUAUCCCUACGAUCACUUAUAAAUCUUUGUUCAUGUCUUAUCUUCUAUUCUAAUGUGGGGCUUCUAAGACGACUUUUAUUAGAAGGUUGUUAUCGACAACGAUAUAUUUGAGUCAUAGAUAUUAAGAUUAAUAGUGUUUUACCCUCUGUAAUAUAGGUCAUUUAUAUUUGUUAACAGAACCGUUUCAAUAUAUAUUGAUGAUAUGACUUUGUUCGCAGAUUUAUCCUUUUUAUUUUUAUCAACUUUAAAUAUAUAUUGUAUCGAUAUAUUUUAUCAAUUUGAUAAGGAAAAAAAAGACAGUGGUGAUAUAACCAAAGUUAAGAGAGAAGAAAUCAAUCUUAACUUGUAAUCCAAAAAAAAAAACAAUCUUAACUAUAAUAGUAUUAUUUAUUGCUAGAAAUCAAUCUAACUAUAAUAGUAUUAUUUAUUGCUCAUUUGAUUACAAACAUCUUAACUAAAUAAAUAAAAAAUACAUGCACUGGAGACCAACAUCUUAGUGAAAGAGUUCAUUCUUACAUGUAUGGCUUUUUGGGUAUCUCUCUUAGGAAAAUUUCACAUAGCUCGUUAACACACUUAUAAUAGCUAUAUGUAAAUACAUUUGGACAAUCUUCAUCGACUUUACAUUUAAUCCAUCCUGCAAAGGCACCAUCAACCUCUUUUGUAACAAGAAACAUGGAAAGAAAUGAAAUUAUAACGUAAAUAAACUUGAGAUCGUUAGCCAUAUUUGUUUUCUUUGUUUUUGUAACAAAUAGGAUAUGACUUGUUCAAUUUAUAGUGUAAAAGGAUAAUGCAAUGCUAAAAACUUUUAAAUAUAUUUAACAUUUAAGUAAAUUAAAGUGUUGUAUUUGCUCCUUUUGGAUGUUAAACAAUGUCUCUUCAAUAGAUCAAUGUGUUGUUUUGUCC